CCUACGGGUGGCAGUAGUGGGGAAUAUUGCACAAUGGGGGAAACCCUGACGCAGCGACGCCGCGUGAGGGAAGAAGUAAUUCGGUACGUAAACCUCUAUUAUCAGGGAAGAAAAUGAUGGUAGUUGACUAAGAAGACCCGGCUAACUACAUGCCAGCAGCCGCGGUAAUACGUAGGGGGCAAGCGGUAUCCGGAUUAACUGGGUGUAAAGGGAGCGUAGACGGCAGCGCAAGUCUGGAGUGAAAUCCUAUGGCUUAACCAUGGAACUGCUUUGGAAACUGUGCAGCUAGAGUGCAGGAGAGGUAAGCGGAAUUCCUUGUGUAGCGGUGAAAUGCGUAGAUAUUAGGAGGAACACCAGUGGCGAAGGCGGCUUACUGGACUGUAACUGACGUUGAGGCGCGAAAGCGUGGGGAGCAAACAGGAUUAGAUACCCGGGUAGUC
Molecule: ribosomal RNA, 440 nt
Filed under: uncultured bacterium
Lineage: Bacteria
Description: partial 16S ribosomal RNA
Rfam family: Bacterial small subunit ribosomal RNA
Source: RNAcentral